Molecule: ribosomal RNA, 698 nt
Filed under: uncultured bacterium
Lineage: Bacteria
Description: bacterial SSU rRNA
Rfam family: Bacterial small subunit ribosomal RNA
Source: RNAcentral
GGAUACCCGAGGGAAACUUCGGUUAAUACGGUAUAAGACCACACUACCGCAUGGUAGAGGGGUAAAAGGGGCAACCUGGUAUGAGAUGGACUCGCGUCGCAUUAGCUAGUUGGUGAGGUAACGGCCCAUCAAGGCGACGAUGCGUAGCCGACCUGAGAGGGUGAUCGGCCACAUUGGGACUGAGAUACGGCCCAGACUCCUACGGGAGGCAGCAGUGGGGAAUAUUGGGCAAUGGAGGAAACUCUGACCCAGCAAUGCCGCGUGAAUGAAGAAGGUCUUCGGAUUGUAAAGUUCUUUAGUCAGGGAAGAAGUCAAUGACGGUACCUGAAGAAUAAGCUCCGGCUAACUACGUGCCAGCAGCCGCGGUAAUACGUAGGGAGCAAGCGUUGUUCGGAAUGACUGGGCGUAAAGGGUGCGUAGGCGGUUGUACAAGUUAGAAGUGAAAUACCCAGGGCUUAACUCGGGUGCUGCUUCUAAAACUGUAUGACUUGAGUGCAGUAGAGGUUAGUGGAAUUCCUAGUGUAGCGGUGGAAUGCGUAGAUAUUAGGAGGAACACCAGAGGCGAAGGCGGCUAACUGGACUGCAACUGACGCUGAGGCACGAAAGUGUGGGGAGCAAACAGGAUUAGAUACCCUGGUAGUCCACACUGUAAACGAUGGAUACUAGAUGUAGGAGGUAUCGACUCCUUCUGCGUCGCA